Molecule: ribosomal RNA, 528 nt
Filed under: Hansenula anomala
Lineage: Eukaryota; Fungi; Ascomycota; Saccharomycetes; Phaffomycetales; Wickerhamomycetaceae
Description: Wickerhamomyces anomalus partial 26S ribosomal RNA
Source: RNAcentral
CGCAGCCCUCGAUCCAGACAGGCAAUAUCAGCAGAAGCUAUAACACUCCACCGAAGUGAAGCCACAUUCAACUGCCAUUAUCUUGCCAUCCGAAUCGAUGCUGGCCCAGUGAAAUACGAGUGCACAACUCAAGAAGAGAAGAUAAUCGUAAAACACCAAGUCUGAUCUAAUGCCCUUCCCUUUCAACAAUUUCACGUACUUUUCACUCUCUUUUCAAAGUUCUUUUCAUCUUUCCAUCACUGUACUUGUUCGCUAUCGGUCUCUGCCCAAUAUUUAGCUUUAGAUGGAAUUUACCACCCACUUAGAGCUGCAUUCCCAAACAACUCGACUCUUCGAUAGCACCUUACAUAGGAAUGGGCAUCUCAUCAGACGGGAUUCUCACCCUCUAUGACGUCCUGUUCCAAGGAACAUAGACAAGAGCCAAMCCCAAGGUUACCAUCUUCAAAUUACAACUCGAACACCGAAGGUGCUAGAUUUCAAAUUUGAGCUUUUGCCGCUUCACUCGCCGUUACUGAGGCAAUCCCUGGU